AGCUCCAAUAGCGUAUAUUAAAGUUGUUGCGGUUAAAAAGCUCGUAGUUGGAUUUCUGUCAGGGGCAGCCGGUCCGCACUUUGUGCGUGUAUCUGGUUUGGUCUUGGCAUCCUCUUGGGGAUUGUUUCUGUGCUUAGUUGCAUGGGACGAAAUUCAAGACUUUUACUUUGAGGAAAUUAGAGUGUUCACGGCAAGCUUUCGCUUUGAAUACAUUAGCAUGGAAUAAUAAUAUAGGGCGUGAGUCUUAUUUUGUUGGUUUCUAGGACAUACGCAAUGAUUAAUAGGGACAAUUGGGGGCAUUCGUAUUAACGCGUCAGAGGUGGAAUUCUUAGAUUGCGUUACGACGAACUACUGCGAAAGCAUUUGCCAAGGAUGUUUUCA
RNAcentral lists this ribosomal RNA (381 nucleotides) under uncultured eukaryote. RNAcentral's name for it is "SSU rRNA". It matches the Rfam family "Eukaryotic small subunit ribosomal RNA", at positions 587 to 972 of the family's 1831-position model. The record is from RNAcentral.